CCUAGAGAUCAGCUUCAGCCUGGUCCCAAGGGGAGUUCUGGCCCACCAUUGCACUGCAGUGUUGGGGGCCCUCUGGGGCAAGGGGAUGACCAAUCGCCCUGGUUUGCCUUGGAUCGAGGAGUUUCCAGACACAUGGGACGUUCAGCAUUAAAAGUGGGAAAGAAUCUUACAUGACUUCUCCUUCCCCCUAACCCUCAUUUCUAGCAAGUCUCCAGCCUGGUUCAACCUCAGAGGUUUUUUUCUGGCCACUCCUUCCUCUCUGUCCCACCCACUGCCUCAGUGGCUCAACACCUGGACAUUCUGCUGCACCCCUUCUUUCCAGACUUAAGUCCUGGAGAAUUCCCCAGCCACAGUCUUUCCCAAAGGAACUCAUCUUUCUGUCUGCCACCAGAUCGAUUCUCCUAAAAGAGGGAUUCCAGAGGCCCACCAAAGUCUCCAAGAAAAUCAGAAGUUCAAUGGUAAAAUCAGUUUGGGAAAUGCCACUCAUAUCUCUUUCUUGGAGCAUCACUUUUGCAAAUUAAAGGCUCUGAUAAGUCUUGGAGUAAAGGUACUAGUUUCACUUUAUUUAACCCAGAUUCUUUCAACUGAGUAAUAUAACCAAAACCCCUAUGAGAUAAGCGCUAUUAUGAGGUUUCUAGUUUACAGAUGAUGGGACCAAGACCAUACAAGGUUAGAUAACUCACAAAGGUCACCCAGUACUGAAUGCCAGAGCUGAAGUUCAGACCAGACUGACUCCAAAGCGAAAUGCUUCUGGUAUCCUACAGCACUACAAAUUGGGAAACAAUCUCUUGAAGUUUCUGCUAUCCCAGGCUUCUAAUCAAAGAUUUCCACCAAGUCUCCCUACAUACAAUUUAUAUGCUUAACUUAGAGAGCCUUGCUACUCAAAGGGCCCCCUUGCUACCGGGGCCAGCAGCAGUGGUCUCCUCUGGCAGCUCGUCAGAUGCAGAGUUGCAGCACCCUGACCCCAACUACCACCAGCUCUACUGAGUCAGAUUCCACACCUAACGCAGAAUCCCAUUUGCAGAGCACCACCCUGAAGAGGUGCAAGUCUUCAGAGCAUAAGGUAAUCUGAACUUACUAUUCUUCCACAAACUAUGUUUCCUGGACUCACCAAUCAGCUGGAUGGUACAACUGGGUGGUAUCAGUCAGCAAAUGGUAUCUCUCUGACUUAGCCCCCACCACUCUUACUUACUCCUCAAAGUCCUCCCAGAUAGUUCUGGGACUUCCCUGCGGGUGUCUCACAUGUGCCCUAAAGUCUACUAGCCACUAUUUUCCUCCCUUCUCAUUCUGUCACCAUCUUUAUUCUUUGCCGACACCAAGCUGGCAACCAUGCCACCAGGGGCUGCCAGCAACAGUGUCCGUCCUGAUGCAUCUGACGUUGGGCCAGGCUGACCGAUGCAGUGGUGCAGGGCAUGGAGGGGCUGCCCCACCGAGGCCAGUACUAGCCCCUCAGCUUCUUGUGGACACAGACCAUGAACUGUUCUUCCACACGGCACAGCACAGAGCAGAGCCUUCACGCUCAAGGCAGAGGAAGAGGCAGGGCAGAGUGGGACAUCCAAUGACUGGGACUGAAGGAUCCAUGGUACAAGAUGAUUCCUUACGGGGAUACCUCAAAAAUGCGCAUUUCUAAAUGCCUUGAUUGACAAGAGUAUCCUGCACCCGACUCUGCAGAGAAAGGCGUGGCUGUAGUCUGAUGUGGGACACAGGCAUACGCUCCUUUUGGAAGCAAGAUGUGUCCCUGUGGGGAGGACACAGAGAAAGAGAAGGAAAGAAAUCUCAUGGCCCAACUCAAGACAAGGGCUCAAAGAGGCAUGUAUGACUCCUGGAAGAUUUAGAACUGAAAUGACCCAAAUUAAGGAGCUAAGUAACAGACGCCUCCAGGCUGAAGAAGGGGACCUAGAGGGGAAAGGCUGGCACAGGAGAAAGACAGUGACAGAGGAGCCGAUGCCAAGGAAGCUGGCCAGCGAUGGCAUGAAAUUCCAGAAGAUGGGCCGUGAUGGCAUCUGUCCCCCUUGCUGUCAGAGCAAGGAAGGUGGCCAGGACAGAGAGGGAACUCCAAGGCACCCCACUCCUUACUUCCACAAAGAGGAAGGCGGGUAAGACACAAGACGAUGAAAGAGAUGUCCGCUGUGUUCGUUCGAGUCCAAAAACAGGACACAGGACAAAGGCUAGAGUUGUCCUGGGCAGCCGCUCGGCCUCACCCACCCACCCACCUGAGCGAUCACAGGGCCCAGCUGGGGUUUGUAUACCGUCACCCGCUUUUUAUCCACCUCCACCACUGCCCUCCUUAUCCAGGUACCUCUCACCCUCUGCAAUUAAAGAGCCUCCUGUCUGGUCCCCUAA
Long non-coding RNA from Hyaena hyaena (striped hyena), 2343 nucleotides. RefSeq lists it as uncharacterized. The transcript is spliced from 2 exons. NCBI's taxonomy places the organism in Eukaryota, Metazoa, Chordata, Mammalia, Carnivora, Hyaenidae. The record is from RefSeq and is a predicted model, not a curated record.